CAGCAGCCGCCGCGGUAAUACGAAGGGGGCUAGCGUUGUUCGGAAUUACUGGGCGUAAAGGGCGCGUAGGCGGCCAUUCAAGUUAGAUGUGAAAGCCCUGGGCUCAACCUAGGAAUUGCAUUUGAUACUGUUUGGCUUGAGUUCGGGAGAGGUGAGUGGAAUUCCCAGUGUAGAGGUGAAAUUCGUAGAUAUUGGGAAGAACACCGGUGGCGAAGGCGGCGACCUGGUCCUUUACUGACGCUGAGGCGCGAAAGCGUGGGGAGCAAACAGGAUUAGAUACCCGCGUAGUCCCUGUCUCUUAUAC
Molecule: ribosomal RNA, 304 nt
Filed under: uncultured bacterium
Lineage: Bacteria
Description: partial 16S ribosomal RNA
Rfam family: Bacterial small subunit ribosomal RNA
Source: RNAcentral